CGGGAGCAGAGUGACAGGUGGUGCAUGGUUGUCGUCAGCUCGUGUCGUGAGAUGUUGGGUUAAGUCCCGCAACGAGCGCAACCCUUGAUCUUAGUUGCCAUCAUUAAGUUGGGCACUCUAAGGUGACUGCCGGUGACAAACCGGAGGAAGGUGGGGAUGACGUCAAAUCAUCAUGCCCCUUAUGACCUGGGCUACACACGUGCUACAAUGGACGGUACAAAGAGCUGCAAGACCGCGAGGUGGAGCUAAUCUCAUAAAACCGUUCUCAGUUCGGAUUGUAGGCUGCAACUCGCCUACAUGAAGCUGGAAUCGCUAGUAAUCGCGGAUCAGCAUGCCGCGGUGAAUACGUUCCCGGGCCUUGUACACACCGCCCGUCACACCACG
Molecule: ribosomal RNA, 384 nt
Filed under: Bacillus toyonensis
Lineage: Bacteria; Bacillati; Bacillota; Bacilli; Caryophanales; Bacillaceae
Description: bacterial SSU rRNA
Rfam family: Bacterial small subunit ribosomal RNA
Source: RNAcentral